AUACGGAGGGAGCGAGCGUUAAUCGGAAUUACUGGGCGUAAAGCGCGCGUAGGCGGCUUUGUAAGUCGGAUGUGAAAUCCCCGGGCUCAACCUGGGAACUGCAUUCGAUACUGGCAAGCUAGAGUAUAGUAGAGGCAAGUGGAAUUCCGGGUGUAGCGGUGAAAUGCGUAGAUAUCCGGAGGAACAUCAGUGGCGAAGGCGACUUGCUGGACUAAUACUGACGCUGAGGAGCGAAAGCGUGGGGAGCAAACGGGAUUAGAAACCCCAGUAGUCC
This 274-nucleotide ribosomal RNA is filed under the name uncultured bacterium. RNAcentral describes it as "partial 16S ribosomal RNA". It matches the Rfam family "Bacterial small subunit ribosomal RNA", at positions 523 to 796 of the family's 1533-position model. The record is from RNAcentral.